RNAcentral lists this ribosomal RNA (443 nucleotides) under uncultured bacterium. Its description in RNAcentral is "partial 16S ribosomal RNA". It matches the Rfam family "Bacterial small subunit ribosomal RNA", at positions 338 to 795 of the family's 1533-position model. The record is from RNAcentral.
CCUACGGGAGGCAGCAGUGGGGAAUAUUGGGCAAUGGGCGCAAGUCUGACCCAGCAACGCCGCGUGAAGGAAGAAGGCUUUCGGGUUGUAAACUUCUUUUCUCAGGGACGAAGAAAGUGACGGUACAUGAGGAAUAAGCCACGGCUAACUACGUGCCAGCAGCCGCGGUAAUACGUAGGUGGCAAGCGUUAGGCGGAUUUAUUGGGUGUAAGGGGCGAGUAGGCGGGAACGUAAGUCAGAUGUGAAAACUCACGGCUCAACCGUGGACCUGCAUUUGAAACUGUGUUUCUUGAGUGCUGGAGAGGCAAUCGGAAUUCCGUGUGUAGCGGUGAAAUGCGUAGAUAUACGGAGGAACACCAGUGGCGAAGGCGGAUUUCUGGACAGUAACUGACGCUGAGGCGCGAAAGCGUGGGGAGCAAACAGGAUUAGAUACCCUAGUAGUC